Molecule: long non-coding RNA, 152 nt
Organism: Perca fluviatilis (European perch)
Lineage: Eukaryota; Metazoa; Chordata; Actinopteri; Perciformes; Percidae
Exons: 3
Source: RefSeq, a predicted model, not a curated record
AGCUACUGUUGGCGGGACUGGAGGAUCCUCUCUGGAGACUAGAUACUCUCAGGGUGGAGCCUGCUGGAGUCAGAUAUUUGACACCAGGUCCAUGGAGAUAUUCCUGUGAACUCACACUGGACACAAACACAGUGAACAGAGAACUCAAACUC